GGUAGUGACAAUAAAUACCUUACAGAGGUCUCGUUAACCGAGAUCUCUCAAACGGAAUGAGUACAACGUGAAUCCUUUAACGAGGAUCGACUGGAGGGCAAGCCUGGUGCCAGCAGCCGCGGUAAUUCCAGCUCCAGUAGCGUAUAUUAAAGCUGUUGCGGUUAAAAAGCUCGUAGUUGGAUAUCAGUGCGUGUCCGGUCCGGUAUGCCCGGCGGCGGCGCUCGCGCGUCACUGCUGGGCUCCCAAAUAUCGGCUGGCCGCAUUCAAUCGUGCCGGAUCCGUCGACGGGCCGUUCUUCGGAGGGGCCUGUUGGCGACCGGCGACGUUACCUUGAACAAAUUAGAGUGCUCAAAGCAGGCUCUGAAUGCCUGUAUACAUAUUCAUGGAAUUGGAGAAUACGUCCCUGGCUCGAUUUGGUUGGUUUUGAGAGUCGAAGGGAAAUGAUUAAUAGGGACUGACGGAGGCAUUCGUAUUGCGACGCGAGGGGUGAAAUCCUGUGACCGUCGCACGACGAACUACUGCGAAAGCAUUUGCCGAGAAUGUUUUCAUUAGUCAAGAACGAAAGUUAGAGGUUCGAAGGCGAUCAGAUACCGCCCUAGUUCUAACCGUAAACGAUGUCGACCAGCAAUCCGCAACGGUCACUACACGGACUGUGCGGGCAGCUUCCCCGGGGAAACCAGAGUGUAUGGACUCCGGGGGAAGUAUGGUUGCAAAGCUGAAACUUAAAGGAAUUGACGGAAGGGCACCACCAGGAGUGGAGCUUGCGGCUUAAUUUGACUCAACACGGGACAACUCACCAGGCCCGGACACCGUAAGGAUUGACAGACUGAUAGCUCUCUCUUGAUUCAGUGGGUGGUGGUGCAUGGCCGUUCUUAGUUGGUGGAGUGAUUUGUCUGGUUUAUUCCGAUAACGAACGAGACUCUGGCCUAUUAAACUUGACGCCGUCAGUCUCUUGUGACUGCG
This 963-nucleotide ribosomal RNA is filed under the name Chthamalus moro. RNAcentral's name for it is "SSU rRNA". It matches the Rfam family "Eukaryotic small subunit ribosomal RNA", at positions 463 to 1382 of the family's 1831-position model. Lineage: Eukaryota; Metazoa; Arthropoda; Thecostraca; Balanomorpha; Chthamalidae. The record is from RNAcentral.